Molecule: long non-coding RNA, 8600 nt
Filed under: Homo sapiens (human)
Lineage: Eukaryota; Metazoa; Chordata; Mammalia; Primates; Hominidae
Description: non-protein coding LINC02455:8
Source: RNAcentral
GUUGAUGUGAGUCUGCCAGGCAUGGUGGUACACGCCUGUAAUCCCAGCUACUCAGGAGGCUGAGGCAGGAGGAUCUCUUGAGCCCAGGAGUUCAAGGCUGCAAUGAGCUAUGAUCACGCCACUGCACUCCAGCCUGGGUGACAGAGUGAGAGUCAAAACAAAACAAAAUAAAACAAACAAAAAGCCUGGUUAAGGUGAAUCUAACUGGGCUUUGGCUUACCUUCUCUUUUUUGGGAGGUAGAAGGUUUUUGGAAGGUAGAAGGAUGUAUUGCAAUGAUUCCCCAGCUUCAUUCACUAGCACACCACCUUCAUGAUUUUUGACGUGUCCACAUAUCAGUUGUACUAUUAUUUUCUUAAUUAGACUUUCUUAUUUUCUUAUCUUCACCUAUGAUAUUUUUUAAUGGAACCAUGGCUUUGCAAUACAUAUGAUGUUUUUUCAAAUAUACAUUAAAAUGCAAAACUAUUAAAAUAAUUUUUUUUUUACCACCUAAGAUUAUUUUAUGUGUACUACCUUAGGAAACAAUGUCAUGUAGGCUUUGGAAUCAGGCAGGCUUGUUCAGGUAAUACCUGUAUGUCCUUGGGCAAGCCACACUCUCUAACCUCCAAUAUUGUCAUAAUAAGUGUGUCUUCCUUAGGAUUUUGGUGAGGGCUAGAUGGGUCAGUUUGUGUGUGUGUGUCUGUGUGUGUGUUGCGUGUCUGUGUGUGUAGAUGUGGGUCUCACUGUGUUGCUCAGGCUGGUCUCAAACUUCUGGGCUCAAAUGAUCCUCCUGCCUCGGCCUUCCAAGUGCUGGAAUCACAGACGUAAGCCACUGCACCCAGCCCUAGAUGGGAUGAUUUAAACACUGUGUUUCAACUGCCUUGCACGUGGGUAACACCUAGUAAGUACUCAGUCACUGUUAACCAUUGCUGUUCCUGCAUUCUCUAUUUCUGCACUUUGUCUGCUUCUCUGUAUUUCCUUUCUUUCCUUUUUGGUCUGUUUGCAGCAGGAACCAGCAUGGAAUGGGUUUGCUUACUGGAGCAUAUGAAAUGUAUGUAAAGCCCUCAGGGACCAGGACAGAAAGCUAAGUGUGGUGCCUCUGCGGGGUCCGGGUGUGUAUAAUAGAAUCUAAUGAUGUGACUUGUUAUCCCAUCGUGCUUGUGUGGUUGAGAUAAUAACAUUGUUUCUAUAGAACCUGCUUUAAAGGGUCAAAGCCCUCAUGGACAUUAUCUAGCUCAUCUCUCUUAAGUGUGGACAAGUGUUAUCGUCCUCGUUUUUCAGGUGGAGAAAUCAAGACCCCAACAGAGGGCUGACCAGGUUACUCAGCAAUGCUGUGGCAGAAACACACAAAAGAGUCCGUGGCUUGUGAUUCACAGGCCAAGACGCUGCCUUGGCGCAGCACUCCCCGUGUUGACGUGGAAGGUGGUGAUGGCAGUGAGCAAAAAAGUGAUCCAUGCACAGAUGCAUUUGUGAACGCCGGAUGAAACAAAGUUAAAAUAGGUGGGUUUUUUUUUUCUGUAGGAUUUCUCAGUCUUUCAUAAGAUAACAUGCAUGAUGAUUCUCCGAGGGAGAUAGAGCAUACAUAAUUUUCCACAUGUGAGCAUUAAGUAUACCUACUUAGGAACUCUAAAGAUAGUGUCCCUCAGAGCACUAGUUUGGGAAAUAGCGUCUUAGUUGAUCAUACUGUCUUGAAAGCCUUCUUCUGAUUUCUUUAUGUUAUAAAAGAAAGCUGCUUUUGGAAUGCUAAAACAAAAACAAAAACAAAAACAAAUCCCAUGUCCGAAAUCAUUCUACCCCCAUAUCACCCUAGUCCCACCCUGGGGACUAGGAUUUCAUUCCUGUAUCACUUGUUGCUACACGCCUGGGGAACUGCCUGCCUUUGAUCACAUACUUACUAAUGUGUAAUAUUUCAACUCUAUUUGGUUCUUAAGUUAUUUCAUUUUAUUUUAUUUGUGAGAUGGAGUUUUGCUCUUGUUGCCCAGGCUGGAGUGCAAUGGUGCAAUCUUGGCUCAUCGCAACCUCCACCUCCCGUGUUCAAGCAAUUCUCCUGUCUCAGCCUCCCAAGUAGCUGGGAUUACAAGCACACACCGCCACACCCAGCUAAUUUUGUAUUUUUAGUAGAGACGGGUUUUCUCCAUGUUGGUCAGGCUGGUCUUGAACUCCUGACCUCAGGUUAUCCGCCUGCCUCGGCCUCCCAAAGUGCUGGGAUUACAGGUGUGAGCCACUGCCCCCGGCCAAGUUAUUUUUUUAAUUCGUAAUUUUUCUUUUUUUUUAAUUUUGAGGACUUAAAAUAAUACAAGAAAAUAAUAACUUCUAAUUUUUAAAAUGAAAGUGUUGAUAGAAAGUUAGUGUUAGGAGAAAUGUCAUAUUAUACAGAAAGGACGUGAAGUCCUACAGAGGCCAGGUCACAUGGCAGGACAAUAGCAUACCCACAAAUAGAAGAGAAGUAUCCUGUCUCUUGGGACAGACUGUUUUUCACUGCUGAAGCGUUCCUUUGCUUUGAUUUAUAGGUGAGGUGUAUUGCUGAGCCAUUUCAGCGAUCUUGACUCUGUGUUUCUCAUUUAGAUAUUUAAUAUAAAAUACUGUGUGGGAAGAAAAGGAAGUCAUGGAAGCAUCUGUUUUACAAAUACGAAGUAGACACAAAGCUCUCUUUCCACAGAGAGCCCUCCUUUAUUAUACCAACGUGAGAGGUCAGGACCAAUCCCACGUUACAGGCUCACCCUGCUCACACUAGGCUUUUACGUAGCGCAGUGGCCGUGUUAAGGACUGAUGAGCAGGUUUCCCCUGCAGCCGAGGUCCCCUUGCUGUAGGAGAAAUGAAGCAUAGUCAGGGCGGAGGCCCUGAAAAGGAGAUGACGUGACAGAGGAUUCACACUUUAUCACUUUUGUUUUCUGAAGAGGUUUGAGAUGGCUUAACAUGAAGAACAUGCAUAUCAGAAUUGGUGUUUUGUUGUUGUUUGUUUUGUUUUGUUUUUGUUUUUGUUUUUGUUUUUGUUUGAGACAGAGUCUCGCUCUGUUGCCCAGGCUGGAGUGCAGUGGCGCCAUCUGGACUCACUGCAACCUCUGCCUCCCGAGUUCAAGCAAUUCUCCUGCCUCAGCCUCCCGAGUAGCUGGGAUUACAGGCAUCUGCCACCACACCUGGCUAAUUUUUGUAUUUUUAGUAGAGACAGGGUUUCACCAUGUUGGCCAGGCUGGUCUCGAACUCCUGACCUCAGGCAAUCCACUCACCUCAGCCUCUCAAAGUGCUGGGAUUACAGGCAUGAGCCACCAUGCCCGGCCAAUUCCAGGGGACUUUAAAAAAAUGUUCACAAAAAACGAAAAAGAAUGAGGGUAAUAUAAGACUCAACACUCUCCAUUCAAAAUGAACAAAUGUUAACACUUAGUCAUAUGUUCUCUAGACCUUAAAAACAAAAAGAAGGAAUGAAACAUUACAGAUAAAGUUGAAGUCCCUGUAUCAAUGUGAUGGGCUAGCUAUGCUACAGUAACAAACAUAUACUCCCACAGUUUUAGUGGCUUAAGGAAGCAGAGAUCCAUUUCUCAGUCAUGCCUCAUGUUCACUGUGGGUCAUUUGGAAACUAUCAUACACUGUCUUCACUCCAGGACCCAGCGGAUGAAGUGGACUGAAACACUGAAUCUGAAACAUUGAUGAUCACUACAGCAAAGGGAAGAGCUCGGUAAAUUGUGCAUAUCGUUCUUAGAUCUUCCACCCAAAAGUAACACUUCCACUUACAUGUAUUGGCCACGGUAAGUCAUGUGGUUGUGCCUAACUUCAAAGAAUGUAAGGACAUACAAUCCUACCAUGUACUGGAAGGAAAUCCAGAAGAUUCCUUUUUUUUUUUUUUUUUUUUUGAGAUGGAGCCUUGCUCUGUCUCCAGGGUGGAGUGCAGUGGUGCGACCUCGGCUUACUGCAACCUCCGCCUCCGGGGUUCAAGUGAUUCCCCUGCCUCAGCCUCCCGACUAGCUGGGAUUACAGGCACACACCGCCACGUCUGGCUAAUUUUUUUUUGUAUUUUAGUAGACACAGGAUUUCACCAUGUUGGCCAGGAUGGUCUCUAUCUCCUGACCUUGUGAUCCACCUGCCUCGGCCUCCCAAAGUGCUGGGAUUACAGGUGUGAGCCACCACGCCUGGCCAGAAAGGCUCUUAAAGAGGCCUAAUGACUAUCACAGUCCCAGAACUGCUUCCCUCUCCCGCUAGAAGCAGCCACAUGAAUGUGACGUGUAUCUAGACCCUAUUUUAUAUUUUCACUACAAAUACACUGUAAUAGAGAUGGUAUUCAUUUGCAUAUUUUAGAAAAUAUUUGUUAAUGGGAUCAUCCUUUUAUAAUGUACAAUUUUUAGUCAAUAAUUUUCAGGACUUAUCAAUGCUGAAUCAUAUAGAUCUAGUUCAUUGAUUUAAACUGUUAUAUAGAAUUCCACAUUAGAAAUAUACUGUGAUUUAUUUAUCUAUUCUCCUACAAAUGAACAAACUAUUUACAAUUUUUUUUUUUUUGGGAUGGAGUCUCACCCUGUUGCUCAGGCUGGAGUGCAAUGGCGCAAUCUUGGCUCACUGCAACCUCCGCCUCCCGGGUUCAAGUGAUUCUCCUGCCUCAGCCUCCUGAGUAGCUGGGAUUACAGUCACGUGCCACCACGCCUGGCUAAUUUUUUUUUUGAGAUGGAGUCUCGCUCUGUCACCCAGGCUGGAGUGACACAAUUGUGCUGCAGUGGCACAAUCUCGGCUCACUGCAAGCUCCGCCUCCUGGGUUCACGCCAUUCUCCUGCCUCAGCCUCCCAAGUAGCUGGGACUACAGACGCCCGCCACCACGCCCUGCUACUUUUUUGUAUUUUUAGUAGAGAUGGGGGUUUCACCAAGUUCGGCAGGAUGGUCUUGAACUCCUGACCUUGUGAUCCGCUCACCUCGGCCUCCCAAAGUGCUGGGAUUACAGGUGUGAGCCACCGCGCCCAGCCGGACUAUGGACAUUUUCAAGUUUUCUAGAUAUUGUCAAGUUAUUCUCACAAAUGACCUUGUCAUUUACACUUCUGCCAGAUGUGCAUGAGAGUUCUCAUUUUCAUACCUCUUUGCCAACAUUUGCUAUUGUCAAACAUUUUACUUUUGGCCAGUUCCAUGGGUGUGAAAUUGUAUCUUAGUGUUGUUUUUAAAUUGUAUGUCCCUGGUUGCUAGUGAGUGGAGCCUUUUUUCAUAUUUGGUCAUUGAGUUUCUUUUUCUGCUGCAUGGUAUUGUUCAAAUUCUUUGCCCAUUUCUCUGCUGGGCUGUUCAUGUUUUUCCUUUUUUUUUUUCUUGAGACGGAGUUUCACUCUUGUUGCCCAGGCUGGAGUGCAAUGGCACGAUCUUGGCUCACUGCAACCUCUGCCUCCUGGGUUCAAGUGAUUCUCCUGCCUCAGCCUCCCAAGUAGCUGGGACUAUCACACCUGGCUAAUUUUUGUAUUUUUUGUAGAGGCGAGGUUUUGCCAUGUUGCCCAGGUUGGUCUUAGACUCCUGAGCUCAGGACUGUGCUUAACCCAACACAACAUUUUCCAGAUCUAGCCAUUCAAACAUUUCUUGCAAUUUAGGCAAGUACAGAAUACAUCCUCUGUUCAUGGAGGGGGUUACUUAGGGAUAGAAGGAAUAUAUAAAAUGAGUCUACAUAUUUUUUUAUUUCAAAUUUUUUUAAUUUAAAAAAGUUUUUUUUGUUUUUUUUUUUUUGUUUUAUUUUUUGUAGAGACAGGGUCUUGCUAUGUUGCCCAGGCUGGUGACAAAAUCCUGGGUUCAAGAGUCUAUAUAUAUAGACUCAUUUUCUAUAUUCCUUCUAUCCCUAAGUAACAGUUAUUGUUAUCCAAAGAUCAGCCGGUCCAAAUGCCCUUCUCACAGAGGGCUUCUUUGACCUAGAAGGCAAUGGAAGUGUUUAAAAUAAGCUGACCAGUUCCUUAAAUGAAACUGAAUUUAUGUUACUCUCUAACAGACCAAGGCUGAGCAGUCAAUGGUGCCCUGUGCUCAUGAAUGGACAGUAGUGUCUUGCAAAGGGACCAUGAGCUGAAAAGACAUUCUUAAGUGCAAAAAUAGUGUGGUAAUUAUAGGAGUAAGUGGAGAGUCAAUUUCUUCUUAAAACAUCAUCGUUAUUAAAAUAGACUAAGUGCAGGGGUGUUGGGAUUAUGACGUUGUUUACGGUAUUUUUUCCCUUCUCUAUUCUCCAAAUAUUCUGCAAUGAACUUACACUAUACUAAUAAUUCAAAAAUCAUAAUGAGAAGUAAAACCAAAAUGUAACCCACUGUGAUGAUAAGGAUUCUCAGUUUCUCAAGUAGAUGUUCAUCUCAAGCAGUAAAGGGGGCGGGGAAAAUUCCAAGGCAGAAAAGCAUAAGGGUCUUUCCCACUUGCAAGCUUUUCAAAGUCAAGUCGAAAGUGUUAGAAAACUGAAGCUUUACGUGGAAAAUGGGGGAGGACGUGGCCAGAUGCUGUGAUGGAAAAGCAUAAAGAGGAAGAACUGCUGAUGGAAGGAGAGGAACAGAAUGGACGAGGAAGGAAGAGGGAGGCUUGGCCAAGGGCAAGGGUAUCCUGGAAUAGGAGGUGUGUAUGCCUGGGGGAGCAAGGCAGCAAGGAACAGAGGAAAGAAUACAGGGAGAGUCGAUGUCCACGACUCACGUGGAAGCCGUGGCUCUGUCCUUUGCUAGUGUUUGGCCAUGGGCUCUUGGCGCAGCCUGGUCUGUGAAAUAAAGGGGUACGCAGGGUCGUCCUGUGACCCAUGUGUGACGACAUUAUAGGAAAACAUUUGGAGAACACAGAGGUUCUGUCCGCAGGUUACUUAGUCUUAAUGAGAAAAGGGCUUGACCUCAGCCUCUUGAAGAAGGUACAAAAAGAGAGAGAGAAAAGGGCACCAGAGGAGUGCUAGUAAAGAGCAGAAAGAGAAAAAAACUCCCAGCUGGGGCACAGUGGGAAGAGUGCAUGAGAGAACAGCGUCAGAGCCUCCAAACACAGGGGCCCACCCAUCGCCAUCCCUUCCUCAUUCACUGUGAGUGACCUGGGGUUACGUGCCUGCUGGGCCUCAGGAGACAGAUUUGGGGGGAACACCGGACAGGCACUGUAUGUAUCUAAAGUCUAAUCAUGUUUUUUUUUAAUUUCUUUUUCUUUUUCUUUCUUUUUUUUUUUUUUUUUUUUUUUUGAGAUGGAGUCUUGCUCUGUUGCCCAGGCUGGAGUGCAAUAGCACGAUCUCAGCUCACUGCAACCUCCGCCUCCCAGGUUCAUGCUAUUCUCCUGCCUCAGCCUCUCCAGUAGCUGGGAUUACAGCAUGCACCACCACAUCUGGCUAAUUUUUGUAUUCUUAGUAGAGGCGGGGUUUCACCAUGUUGGCCAGGCUGGUCUCAAACUCUUGACCUCAUGAUCCGCCUGCCUCGGCCUCCCAAAGUACUGGGAUUACAGGCAUGAGCCACCGCACCCGGCCCUCUUUUUCUUUUUCUUUUUCUUUCUUUUUUUUUUUUUUUGAAACAGAGUUUCACUUUUGUUGCCCAGGCUGGAGUGCAAUGGCCUGAUCUCAGCUCACCACAACCUCCGCCUCCUGGGUUCCAGUGAUUCUCCCAUCUCAACCUUCUGAGUAGCUGGAACUACAGGCAUGCGCCACCACGCCUGGCUAAUUUUUGUAUUUUUAGUAGAGACAGGGUUUCUCCAUGUUGGCCAGGCUGGUCUUAAACUCCCGACCUCAGGUGAUCUGCCCGCCUCAGCCUCCCAAAGUGCUCCGAAAGUGCUGGGUGCUGUGAGCCGCCGUUCCCGGCCUUUUUUUUUUUUUUUUUAGAGAUAAGGUCUGGCUCUGUCACCCAGAGUGCAGUGGCAUAAUCAUAGCUCACUAUAAUUUACCACCAUGCUCAGCUAAUUAUUUUUAUUUGUUUUUUGUAGUGACGGGGUCUUGCUAUGUUGCCCAGGCUGGUUUCAAACUCCUGGGCUCAAGUGAUCCUUUUGCCUUGUUCUCCCAAAAUGCUGGGAUGACAGGCCUGAGCCACCAUGCCCAGCCUGUUAUUUCUUAUUAAAUCUCUUUGCACAACAUUGGGAGAGCUUGCCAGCAAAGGGCAGCAAGUCAUCUAGAAAGACGCAUUUUGAUAGGUGGAAACUUAACACCAAACGAAGAGGGAUUUUUUUUCCUGCCCCAGUGGUCCUCACUUUCUGUGGCCUGAAGCUUGUGUCCCUUAGCUGCUUAAAUUCCCCAAGACUCAGCUGACUUCAGGGGUAAAUCACUACCUUGGUGCUCUCUCCCUCAUACACCUUGAAAGCUGAGGAUUGUGUUUUGGUUUUUUUCUCUCCCUAAAAGGUAGCUGUACUCUGUCUUCCUUUUAACCACAGUUCCCUAGAAAAUAAGAACUGUGACAAACAAAAGGAGAUGGGUACAAGAAUAGGCCUUACUCCUCUUCUCCCCCAGUUCCUCAGCCCCAGAUCCCAGGGACCCUAACCAUGGUUGCAGUUUUCGUUGAGGAAUUAAGGCCUACAAAGAAAAUCUAAUGCGCAGUAACCUAAGCUUGACUCUUGGCUUAGAAGUCCCAGCUUCAGGAAAAGCCUACCCAUUAGGUUCUUUCCUCAUUCUGUUGAGGUAGCUCUUAUGAGCUCUAUUUUACACACAUGGCUCCUCAGACUUAGAGAGAGUAAGUCAGUUUCCCAAAGUCUGCAGUGG